CGUCAAUUUUACAAGUCAAACCCAAAACACAGACGGCGAAAAGAUACAUUGUUGCAUGUUUGAACAGCACAGAUACGUACACAAUCAGAUUACGGGAUGACAGUGAUGCUGGUGGCGUGACUGGUAUAUAUGGAGCUUGGCGAAUGUAUUGAAUUAAAUGAGAGGCCAGCAACGGAUAAUGGAAGCUAUCGAUAGCAAUAUCAUAGGCGCUAAGGUUUUCUGCUAUCGUUUCUUGUUCAGUGCAGAAAAUGGCAAGAUUUGCUAUGGUACAAUUAACAAGUGUCUCCGACAUGCAGUGAUUAAUCUUUACGUAAUACGACUUGCAACCUGACAACUCGCAUCCUAGGUCCAUAUUAUAGCAGUAGAUGUCUCCACUGCAUAGUGACACGUUACGAAAGAUCCACAAGGGGAGAAGUUGUGAACUUCAUCCCGAUAUAGCAAACUAAAUGCCUAGGAGUCGUUGCCGUAGAUAAACAAUACAUCUCUACUUAAAUAACCGGUCUACUUAAGAUUUUCUUGUAAUGUAUUGUAGGAGCCUAGGUGGAGUGAGAGACAUUAAAGCAGUUCAAAAAUGCCUCGUAAACUUUGAUUUAUGGGUGUUACUGUUGCCGCCUUCAAACAAAAGUCGGUUAUUUUUAGAAGGCUGUAUAAUUCCGAUACCACUGAACAGUCCUCUUCGUGACGCACAGCA
Long non-coding RNA from Varroa destructor (honeybee mite), 691 nucleotides. RefSeq lists it as uncharacterized. The record is from RefSeq and is a predicted model, not a curated record. NCBI's taxonomy places the organism in Eukaryota, Metazoa, Arthropoda, Arachnida, Mesostigmata, Varroidae.